Molecule: ribosomal RNA, 324 nt
Filed under: uncultured eukaryote
Lineage: Eukaryota
Description: partial 18S ribosomal RNA
Rfam family: Eukaryotic small subunit ribosomal RNA
Source: RNAcentral
CCCUUAGAUGUCCUGGGCUGCACGCGCGCUACACUGAUGUGUCCAGUAAGCACCUAACCUCUUCCGAAAGGAACGGGUAACCUUUGCAAAGCACAUCGUGAUGGGGAUAAAUUAUUGCAAUUAUUAGUCUUGAACGAGGAAUUCCUAGUAAGCACAAGUCAUCAGCUUGUGUUGAUUACGUCCCUGCCCUUUGUACACACCGCCCGUCGCUCCUACCGAUUGAAUGUUCCGGUGAGCUCUUCGGACUGCGCGGUCUGCAGUUUCUGCGUUCCGUGCGGAAAGUUGCGCAAACCUUAACAUUUAGAGGAAGGAGAAGUCGUAACA